Molecule: long non-coding RNA, 433 nt
Organism: Lathyrus oleraceus (garden pea)
Lineage: Eukaryota; Viridiplantae; Streptophyta; Magnoliopsida; Fabales; Fabaceae
Exons: 3
Source: RefSeq, a predicted model, not a curated record
CCCGCCUCUCGCGCCAUCCAUUCUUUGGAAUCUCUGCUAUUCGCCAUUCUCACUUGCUCUAGCAUGAACUCUCUCUUCCAUGGGCUGGACACUGGUUUUCCAAGAAAAAACAAUUUAUUAGAGAACAUAGAACAUGAUGAGUUGGGUUCGUGCCUUAAAGUGAAAAGAAAGUUGGAUAAUUAGAAGUUGCAGAAGAAGUUGUGUAAGGCAGGAUUUUCGAAGCAUUGAUUUAUUGAUGCCUUUUCAUACUGCGAUUUCUCAAGGUACUGCUUCUCUUUAAUCUCCUUUUGAUGUUUCAUUACACCGUGUUAGAUACUAUACAAUUUAAGGUUACCAUAUAUACCAUGAAAAUCAAAAGAACUCAAAUAUUUCAAAUAUAAUUUGAUUCUUGAAUGUAUGAUGCAAAUAUAUGCCAAAGAAAGAGAAUUAUCAC